Molecule: transfer RNA, 71 nt
Filed under: Cliona patera
Lineage: Eukaryota; Metazoa; Porifera; Demospongiae; Clionaida; Clionaidae
Description: tRNA-Met
Rfam family: tRNA
About the family: Transfer RNA (tRNA) molecules are approximately 80 nucleotides in length.
Source: RNAcentral
UGUAGAGUUGACUAAGGGUUAGUCGUCAGACUCAUUAUCUGGGCAUGUGGGUUCAAGUCCUACCUCUACUU